AUAUAAAUAACGUCAAAAACGGAGUUCGUAUGAGCGAGUUACAAAUUAUAGUAGUAUAUUUACGUAUUAAAAUAAAGUAUAAAUCAUGUAUACGUACACAUAUAUAUACAUAUGUAUAUAUCAUUAGAAAGGUAUCGACGAUGCGGUUAUUAUAAAACUAAUGUUGAGUUCUUUCGACAUUAGUUUAGUACAAAGAUCAUUAAAUCCAUUUAAAAUAGUAUUAUAGAGGGGUGUUUAGUUGUUUAUAUAACUAAAAGGUCAUUAAGUAAUUAUGGAGGGUAGUUUUUGAAAAUUCAAUUAGUAUAAAUAAGAGCCUUGGGCUCUCAUAUUUCUUGCACCAUUCUCUUGAUUCAAGAGUCUUUCUCUCCUUAUCCCCCGAGCAUUUCGGUCCCUCGUGAUUCGACUUCUCUUUCUGUAGUUUUAGUAUAGUAAGGUGAGCGCUGAAGCGCUGCACGAAUCUUUCUUAGAAAGAUUCAGCGACGAAGUUCUGCCCCUGCAGAGCCCGACUCCUAGCUAAAAUCCCCUUGAAAGUUUCGUCAAAGGAAAUUAUUUUAAAGUAAACGAAGCGCUGUCCGAGUACCGAGUCACCACCUUCUCAGGUGUUGAUAUGAAGUCACAAUACACUGAGAGAUUUAAAGAGAUGUAGAUCACUAGUGUAAAUAAUUGUAAGUUCUGUUUAUGCUUAUGUUUCUGUAUUAACGAUGACAUCCCAAACGUUUUAAAAUGAAAUAAAUACGUUUCAUCGAAAAUGUUUUAAUAACGUAUUUACCAUGUUUUUCUGGGAACAAAUUCCGCAACAUUUUUAUAAAAUGAAGUACUCUGAUUUUUAUAAAGCAUAAACAAAAUCGGUCUUUUCUGGCCGUGAAAAUGGGGA
This is a non-coding RNA of Lactuca sativa (garden lettuce), 874 nucleotides long. The record is from RefSeq and is a predicted model, not a curated record. NCBI's taxonomy places the organism in Eukaryota, Viridiplantae, Streptophyta, Magnoliopsida, Asterales, Asteraceae.